Molecule: non-coding RNA, 86 nt
Filed under: uncultured Clostridium sp.
Lineage: Bacteria; Bacillati; Bacillota; Clostridia; Eubacteriales; Clostridiaceae
Description: S10-Clostridia ribosomal protein leader
Rfam family: S10-Clostridia ribosomal protein leader
Source: RNAcentral
UGAUAGCUAUGAAGCGUGAGGUUGCUGCCUGAGAAUAAGGCAGGUUUUCCGUGGAGCGAAUGUCAAGUCGAAGAAACUGGCGACAA